UACGAAGGGGGCUAGCGUUGUUCGGAAUUACUGGGCGUAAAGCGUGCGCAGGCGGCUGCUCAAGUCAGGGGUGAAAGCCCAGAGCUCAACUCUGGAACUGCCUUUGAGACUGAGUAGCUUGAGUACGGGAGAGGUGAGUGGAAUUCCCAGUGUAGAGGUGAAAUUCGUAGAUAUUGGGAAGAACACCGGUGGCGAAGGCGGCUCACUGGCCCGUAACUGACGCUCAUGCACGACAGCGUGGGGAUCAAACAGG
This 253-nucleotide ribosomal RNA is filed under the name uncultured bacterium. RNAcentral's name for it is "partial 16S ribosomal RNA". It matches the Rfam family "Bacterial small subunit ribosomal RNA", at positions 524 to 776 of the family's 1533-position model. The record is from RNAcentral.